GAUGAACGCUGGCGGCGUGCCUAAUACAUGCAAGUCGAACGCGCAGCGAAAGGUGCUUGCACCUUUCAAGCGAGUGGCGAACGGGUGAGUAACACGUGGAUAACCUGCCUCAAGGCUGGGGAUAACAUUUGGAAACAGAUGCUAAUACCGAAUAAAACUUAGUAUCGCAUGAUACAAAGUUAAAAGGCGCUACGGCGUCACCUAGAGAUGGAUCAGCGGUGCAUUAGUUAGUUGGUGGGGUAAAGGCUUACCAAGACGAUGAUGCAUAGCCGAGUUGAGAGACUGAUCGGCCACAUUGGGACUGAGGCACGGCCCAAACUCCUACGGGAGGCUGCAGUAGGGAAUCUUCCACAAUGGGCGCAAGCCUGAUGGAGCAACGCCGCGUGUGUGAUGAAGGCUUUCGGGUCGUAAAGCACUGUUGUAUGGGAAGAAAUGCUAAAAUAGGGAAUGAUUUUAGUUUGACGGUACCAUACCAGAAAGGGACGGCUAAAUACGUGCCAGCAGCCGCAGUAA
Molecule: ribosomal RNA, 513 nt
Filed under: uncultured bacterium
Lineage: Bacteria
Description: partial 16S ribosomal RNA
Rfam family: Bacterial small subunit ribosomal RNA
Source: RNAcentral